AUUGAACGCUGGCGGCAGGCCUAACACAUGCAAGUCGAGCGGAGCGGCGGACGGGUGAGUAAUGCCUAGGAAUCUGCCUGGUAGUGGGGGAUGACGUCCGGAAACGGACGCUAAGACCGCAUACUAGCAGUUGAGCCUAUGUCGGGUUAGCUAUUUGGUGGGGUAAAGGCCUACCCAGGCGACGAUCCGUAACUGGUCUGAGAGGAUGAUCAGUCACACUGGAACGGAGCUACGGCCCAUACUCCGACGGGAGGAAUCAGUGGGGAAUAUUGGACAAUGGGCGAAAGCCUGAUGCAGCCAUGCCGCGUGUGUGAAGAAGGUCUUCGGAUUGUAAAGCACUUUAAGUGGGGAGGCGUUACCCACAGAAUAAGCACCGGCUAACUACGUGCCAGCAGCCGCGGUAAUAC
Molecule: ribosomal RNA, 407 nt
Filed under: uncultured bacterium
Lineage: Bacteria
Description: partial 16S ribosomal RNA
Rfam family: Bacterial small subunit ribosomal RNA
Source: RNAcentral